Molecule: long non-coding RNA, 515 nt
Organism: Cyprinus carpio carpio
Lineage: Eukaryota; Metazoa; Chordata; Actinopteri; Cypriniformes; Cyprinidae
Source: Ensembl
UAGAAGCUCGAGCAGUCAGGCGUACUGGAAUGUGCUGUGACAAGGAGAGGUUGAACGCAGAGCAAGUGAAUGCAGAAACAAAGCGAGAUAAAAGCUCACGAAAAAUCCACAGGUCACCAUCUCGCUCAACUCAAAGCAAAAGUUCAAUAUCCCAGAGAAACAGUGCAACUGUCCCAGACACGUGAAUACUGCCAUCUGAUGAAAGACCUCAUUUAGGAGGCAAGACCUUUGCAGUUUCCUGUUGAUAGUGGAUCACAGCUGGAGGUCAAAGGUCAUCAGUAUGUACUGAUGGAGAAGAUCAGCGUGGAUUUGAAGAUGUGGGGGAGGUGAAAGAGGAGUAUGUUUGGGAGUUCUCACGUGACUUCACUCUACUCGUGUUAAUCAAGUUCAGCUACACACAAGCACACUACGGCCUGGAUCGCAUUGGACACGCAGAUAAUGUAAAGAAUGAAACCAGUAGGGGUGAAGCAGAAGAAAAGAACCAGAUCAAAGAGAGAAUGAAAGUAUGACAGAUU